This 2803-nucleotide ribosomal RNA is filed under the name Escherichia coli. RNAcentral's name for it is "bacterial LSU rRNA". It matches the Rfam family "Bacterial large subunit ribosomal RNA". The record is from RNAcentral. Lineage: Bacteria; Pseudomonadati; Pseudomonadota; Gammaproteobacteria; Enterobacterales; Enterobacteriaceae.
GGGUUGUGAGGUUAAGCGACUAAGCGUACACGGUGGAUGCCCUGGCAGUCAGAGGCGAUGAAGGACGUGCUAAUCUGCGAUAAGCGUCGGUAAGGUGAUAUGAACCGUUAUAACCGGCGAUUUCCGAAUGGGGAAACCCAGUGUGUUUCGACACACUAUCAUUAACUGAAUCCAUAGGUUAAUGAGGCGAACCGGGGGAACUGAAACAUCUAAGUACCCCGAGGAAAAGAAAUCAACCGAGAUUCCCCCAGUAGCGGCGAGCGAACGGGGAGCAGCCCAGAGCCUGAAUCAGUGUGUGUGUUAGUGGAAGCGUCUGGAAAGGCGCGCGAUACAGGGUGACAGCCCCGUACACAAAAAUGCACAUGCUGUGAGCUCGAUGAGUAGGGCGGGACACGUGGUAUCCUGUCUGAAUAUGGGGGGACCAUCCUCCAAGGCUAAAUACUCCUGACUGACCGAUAGUGAACCAGUACCGUGAGGGAAAGGCGAAAAGAACCCCGGCGAGGGGAGUGAAAAAGAACCUGAAACCGUGUACGUACAAGCAGUGGGAGCCUCUUUAUGGGGUGACUGCGUACCUUUUGUAUAAUGGGUCAGCGACUUAUAUUCUGUAGCAAGGUUAACCGAAUAGGGGAGCCGAAGGGAAACCGAGUCUUAACUGGGCGUUAAGUUGCAGGGUAUAGACCCGAAACCCGGUGAUCUAGCCAUGGGCAGGUUGAAGGUUGGGUAACACUAACUGGAGGACCGAACCGACUAAUGUUGAAAAAUUAGCGGAUGACUUGUGGCUGGGGGUGAAAGGCCAAUCAAACCGGGAGAUAGCUGGUUCUCCCCGAAAGCUAUUUAGGUAGCGCCUCGUGAAUUCAUCUCCGGGGGUAGAGCACUGUUUCGGCAAGGGGGUCAUCCCGACUUACCAACCCGAUGCAAACUGCGAAUACCGGAGAAUGUUAUCACGGGAGACACACGGCGGGUGCUAACGUCCGUCGUGAAGAGGGAAACAACCCAGACCGCCAGCUAAGGUCCCAAAGUCAUGGUUAAGUGGGAAACGAUGUGGGAAGGCCCAGACAGCCAGGAUGUUGGCUUAGAAGCAGCCAUCAUUUAAAGAAAGCGUAAUAGCUCACUGGUCGAGUCGGCCUGCGCGGAAGAUGUAACGGGGCUAAACCAUGCACCGAAGCUGCGGCAGCGACGCUUAUGCGUUGUUGGGUAGGGGAGCGUUCUGUAAGCCUGUGAAGGUGUGCUGUGAGGCAUGCUGGAGGUAUCAGAAGUGCGAAUGCUGACAUAAGUAACGAUAAAGCGGGUGAAAAGCCCGCUCGCCGGAAGACCAAGGGUUCCUGUCCAACGUUAAUCGGGGCAGGGUGAGUCGACCCCUAAGGCGAGGCCGAAAGGCGUAGUCGAUGGGAAACAGGUUAAUAUUCCUGUACUUGGUGUUACUGCGAAGGGGGGACGGAGAAGGCUAUGUUGGCCGGGCGACGGUUGUCCCGGUUUAAGCGUGUAGGCUGGUUUUCCAGGCAAAUCCGGAAAAUCAAGGCUGAGGCGUGAUGACGAGGCACUACGGUGCUGAAGCAACAAAUGCCCUGCUUCCAGGAAAAGCCUCUAAGCAUCAGGUAACAUCAAAUCGUACCCCAAACCGACACAGGUGGUCAGGUAGAGAAUACCAAGGCGCUUGAGAGAACUCGGGUGAAGGAACUAGGCAAAAUGGUGCCGUAACUUCGGGAGAAGGCACGCUGAUAUGUAGGUGAAGUCCCUCGCGGAUGGAGCUGAAAUCAGUCGAAGAUACCAGCUGGCUGCAACUGUUUAUUAAAAACACAGCACUGUGCAAACACGAAAGUGGACGUAUACGGUGUGACGCCUGCCCGGUGCCGGAAGGUUAAUUGAUGGGGUUAGCGGUAACGCGAAGCUCUUGAUCGAAGCCCCGGUAAACGGCGGCCGUAACUAUAACGGUCCUAAGGUAGCGAAAUUCCUUGUCGGGUAAGUUCCGACCUGCACGAAUGGCGUAAUGAUGGCCAGGCUGUCUCCACCCGAGACUCAGUGAAAUUGAACUCGCUGUGAAGAUGCAGUGUACCCGCGGCAAGACGGAAAGACCCCGUGAACCUUUACUAUAGCUUGACACUGAACAUUGAGCCUUGAUGUGUAGGAUAGGUGGGAGGCUUUGAAGUGUGGACGCCAGUCUGCAUGGAGCCGACCUUGAAAUACCACCCUUUAAUGUUUGAUGUUCUAACGUUGACCCGUAAUCCGGGUUGCGGACAGUGUCUGGUGGGUAGUUUGACUGGGGCGGUCUCCUCCUAAAGAGUAACGGAGGAGCACGAAGGUUGGCUAAUCCUGGUCGGACAUCAGGAGGUUAGUGCAAUGGCAUAAGCCAGCUUGACUGCGAGCGUGACGGCGCGAGCAGGUGCGAAAGCAGGUCAUAGUGAUCCGGUGGUUCUGAAUGGAAGGGCCAUCGCUCAACGGAUAAAAGGUACUCCGGGGAUAACAGGCUGAUACCGCCCAAGAGUUCAUAUCGACGGCGGUGUUUGGCACCUCGAUGUCGGCUCAUCACAUCCUGGGGCUGAAGUAGGUCCCAAGGGUAUGGCUGUUCGCCAUUUAAAGUGGUACGCGAGCUGGGUUUAGAACGUCGUGAGACAGUUCGGUCCCUAUCUGCCGUGGGCGCUGGAGAACUGAGGGGGGCUGCUCCUAGUACGAGAGGACCGGAGUGGACGCAUCACUGGUGUUCGGGUUGUCAUGCCAAUGGCACUGCCCGGUAGCUAAAUGCGGAAGAGAUAAGUGCUGAAAGCAUCUAAGCACGAAACUUGCCCCGAGAUGAGUUCUCCCUGAC